Molecule: non-coding RNA, 125 nt
Organism: Triticum aestivum (bread wheat)
Lineage: Eukaryota; Viridiplantae; Streptophyta; Magnoliopsida; Poales; Poaceae
Source: Rfam
GAAGUACUCCCUCCGUCCGGAAUUCAUUGUCGCAGAAAUGGAUAAAAAUAAAUGUGUCUAAAACUAAAAUACGUCUAGAUACAUCUAUUUCUACGACAAGUAAUUCCAGAUGAAGGGGGUACUUC